GGUUAAGCGACUAAGCGUACACGGUGGAUGCCCUGGCAGUCAGAGGCGAUGAAGGACGUGCUAAUCUGCGAUAAGCGUCGGUAAGGUGAUAUGAACCGUUAUAACCGGCGAUUUCCGAAUGGGGAAACCCAGUGUGUUUCGACACACUAUCAUUAACUGAAUCCAUAGGUUAAUGAGGCGAACCGGGGGAACUGAAACAUCUAAGUACCCCGAGGAAAAGAAAUCAACCGAGAUUCCCCCAGUAGCGGCGAGCGAACGGGGAGCAGCCCAGAGCCUGAAUCAGUAUGUGUGUUAGUGGAAGCGUCUGGAAAGGCGCGCGAUACAGGGUGACAGCCCCGUACACAAAAAUGCACAUGCUGUGAGCUCGAUGAGUAGGGCGGGACACGUGGUAUCCUGUCUGAAUAUGGGGGGACCAUCCUCCAAGGCUAAAUACUCCUGACUGACCGAUAGUGAACCAGUACCGUGAGGGAAAGGCGAAAAGAACCCCGGCGAGGGGAGUGAAAAAGAACCUGAAACCGUGUACGUACAAGCAGUGGGAGCACGCUUAGGCGUGUGACUGCGUACCUUUUGUAUAAUGGGUCAGCGACUUAUAUUCUGUAGCAAGGUUAACCGAAUAGGGGAGCCGAAGGGAAACCGAGUCUUAACUGGGCGUUAAGUUGCAGGGUAUAGACCCGAAACCCGGUGAUCUAGCCAUGGGCAGGUUGAAGGUUGGGUAACACUAACUGGAGGACCGAACCGACUAAUGUUGAAAAAUUAGCGGAUGACUUGUGGCUGGGGGUGAAAGGCCAAUCAAACCGGGAGAUAGCUGGUUCUCCCCGAAAGCUAUUUAGGUAGCGCCUCGUGAAUUCAUCUCCGGGGGUAGAGCACUGUUUCGGCAAGGGGGUCAUCCCGACUUACCAACCCGAUGCAAACUGCGAAUACCGG
RNAcentral lists this ribosomal RNA (924 nucleotides) under Escherichia coli. Its description in RNAcentral is "partial 23S ribosomal RNA". It matches the Rfam family "Bacterial large subunit ribosomal RNA", at positions 1 to 966 of the family's 2925-position model. Lineage: Bacteria; Pseudomonadati; Pseudomonadota; Gammaproteobacteria; Enterobacterales; Enterobacteriaceae. The record is from RNAcentral.